AGGUAGCCGCGUUUGCAGACUUCCUCCCCGACGGGCAGGUCCUCCUCUUCGGACUCGGAGUCUGACCGGGAGCCAGUGGCCGUGGAGAGCCACAUGGCUCCCGGACAAGACGACCCGGUCCCAAUGAGUGCGGUCGGGGUUCCCGAGGAAAGAAGCGGGGUGGUCACCACUGCUGCUAGAGCUGCCGCUGCCGCCGCUGCUGCACCUCUUAGUCUUCUUGUCGCUUGGUCGCGAGUGAAGGAGCAACUCGCCAUGGUGAUGCACGAUGGUUUUAAGGCACUCCCGAGCCCGCUGCACCCCUGACAGAAGCCCGCGACUCUGAGGCACACGAAUAACAGCGAUGCAUUCAAAAUGAACAUGAUCUUUAUUAAUCAGAAUGCACUUCUAGCCCACGAAACACAGGUUCCCUAAAUACAGUGUUUCUGCCUAUUUGAUUAACGAUGACUAUGAAAGCACAAAUUUGGGGGCCUGCAAUGUAUACAGCCAUAUUGGAAAAAAUUGGACUCGAUUCUUACUGAAAUAACCAGUGUUGGGCUGUGAAGGUAUUUUUCUGUGGGAAAUGCUUUGGAAGGUGCCUUUAAAAGAAUCUCAAAAUAUUGCUUUCCUUUCCUUGAGCGAGACCGAAAAACUUUAGAAAAAGAAAAGCUCAUACCUAGAACAAAGGACCACGCUGAAUGCAUAUUCUAGAGCACAUUUCACAUCCCUCGCGUCAACAAGAAGAAGAAGAGGAGCUUUGAUGCAUUUCAGUCUACAAGUUGACAUCACAAAAGUAAGAACUACUGCCUCCCUCAUUUCUGGAAAAACUGCCGGAGUGUGCUGGAAGCAGCCGUGGUUUCGGAAGGGAGCUAGAGGCAGAACGAGUGUGGAUGCUGAGAGAUCCCUGACUGUGACUGCUACAUAUUUCAGCUGCGUAGUCACAUAUAUACAAGAUUCCCUGCACUUACAACCAAAAUGAUAACAAAUGCUCUCAUUUGGGAUUUUGUUUGAUAGUCAUUAGGAUAUUUUAUAAGUCUUUCCAAGCACAAGGUUUUUUUCUUUUUUUUUUUAAAGAGAAAUGUGACAAAUAAGGCAACAUAUUUGAAAGUGCUUUGAGUAAUAACAUGACAUUGAAAAUAUCAAAAUGAAUAUUAAAUGAAAUGGGAAAAUACUGGAGAUUUUUAAAUCCUCAUGUCCUUUUUCCUGUACAUAUAGUUUUUACAUAGAGCAGUAGGCUUACAAUUUAUAUAAUUUUGCAUCCUGUUCUUUUCACUGAACAUUAUACAAUAUUUCCCCAUAUUAUUAUGCAUCAGCAUAAAUAUCAUUUAAAAUACAACAUAUUAUCCAACACAAUCGAUGAAUAUUAAUGUAAUUAAUCAUCUGCUUUGGGGCAUUUAGGUUGUUUUCAUUUUUUUCAGUAUUAUAAAUAACAUGUCAAUGAAUAUCUUCUACCUACAGCCUUUUAAAAUUCCCAUUGGGUAAAAACUGAGCACUGGAAUUAGUAGGCUAAAAGAUAUGAAUAUUUAAUACAUUAUUUUUCAAAAAUAUUAUAUUAGUUUACCCUGUCACCAGACUGAUUGUCAGCAUUGGACAUUCUUAUUUUUAAAAAAUUAGAGAUAAGAUGGGUGAAAC
Homo sapiens (human) is the source of this 1608-nucleotide long non-coding RNA. Ensembl annotates it as IRS4 antisense RNA 1. Its record names the gene IRS4-AS1. NCBI's taxonomy places the organism in Eukaryota, Metazoa, Chordata, Mammalia, Primates, Hominidae. The record is from Ensembl.